CAUGGUCCCCGCAGCCGGACAACUUUCUCAAGGCUUCUGGAAAGAAAUGCUGUUCAACCGGUGACGUUCAUUCAGCCAACAGAAACGUUCAACCGGUUCUCCCCAUUAAGCAACGAGUCGGAGUCAGAGGCCGAGCCUUCUCAGGUCUUUCCUCCAAACGUUACGGGGUCUGAGCCUUCUCUGGUCUCUCCUCCAACCGUUACGGGGUCUGAGCCUUCUCAGGUCUUUCCUCCAACUGUUACGGGGUCUGAGCCUUCUCUGGUCUCUCCUCCAACCGUUACGGGGUCUGAGCCUUCUCUGGUCUCUCCUCCAACCGUUACGGGGUCUGAGCCUUCUCUGGUCUCUCCUCCAACCGUUACGGGGUCUGAGCCUUCUCUGGUCUCUCCUCCAACCGUUACGGGGUCUGAGCCUUCUCUGGUCUCUCCUCCAACCGUUACGGGGUCUGAGCCUUCUCUGGUCUCUCCUCCACCCGUUAUGAGGUCUGAGCCUUCUCUGGUCUCUCCUCCAACCGUUACGGGGUCUGAGCCUUCUCUGGUCUCUCCUCCAACCGUUACGGGGUCUGAGCCUUCUCUGGUCUCUCCUCCAACCGUUACGGGGUCUGAGCCUUCUCUGGUCUCUCCUCCAACCGUUACGGGGUCUGAGCCUUCUCUGGUCUCUCCUCCAACCGUUACGGGGUCUGAGCCUUCUCAGGUCUCUCCUCCAACCGUUACGGGGUCUGAGCUGCCGAAGCCUCCCAUUAUUAGCUCUGACAAAUUGAAAACCCUAGUCAUUGGCAACUCUAUUACGCACAGUGUUAGACUUAAAAAGAAUCAUCCAGCGAUCAUACACUGUUUACCAGGGAGCAGGGCUACCGACGGUAAGGCUAAUCUGAAGACGGUGAUGGCUAAAGAUAAAACUAGUGAGUGUAGAGAGUAUAGAGAUAUUGUUAUCCAUGUCGGCACCAACGAUGUUCGGAUGAAACAGUCAGAGGUCACCAAGCGCAACAUAGUUUCAGUGUGUAAAUUAGCUAGAAAGAUGUAUCGACAUCGAGUAAUUGUCUCUGGCCCCCUUCCAGUUAAGGAGAGUGAUGAGCUCUACAGCAGUUUCACAACUCAAUCGCUGGUUGAAAACUUUUCUGCCACUCC
Molecule: long non-coding RNA, 1124 nt
Organism: Oncorhynchus keta (chum salmon)
Lineage: Eukaryota; Metazoa; Chordata; Actinopteri; Salmoniformes; Salmonidae
Exons: 3
Source: RefSeq, a predicted model, not a curated record